GAUGAACGCUGGCGGCGUGCCUAAUACAUGCAAGUCGAGCGAACGGACGAGAAGCUUGCUUCUCUGAUGUUAGCGGCGGACGGGUGAGUAACACGUGGAUAACCUACCUAUAAGACUGGGAUAACUUCGGGAAACCGGAUCUAAUACCGGAUAAUAUUUUGAACCGCAUGGUUCAAAAGUGAAAGACGGUCUUGCUGUCACUUAUAGAUGGAUCCGCGCUGCAUUAGCUAGUUGGUAAGGUAACGGCUUACCAAGGCAACGAUGCAUAGCCGACCUGAGAGGGUGAUCGGCCACCCUGGCACUGAGACACGGUCCAGACUCCUACGGGAGGCAGCAGUAGGGAAUCUUCCGCAAUGGGCGAGAGCCUGACGGAGCAACGCCGCGUGAGUGCUGAAGGUCUUCGGAUCGUAAAACUCUGUUAUUAGGGAAGAACAUAUGUGUAAGUAACUGUGCACAUAUUGACGGUACCUAAUCAGAAAGCCACGGCUAACUACGUG
Molecule: ribosomal RNA, 497 nt
Filed under: uncultured bacterium
Lineage: Bacteria
Description: partial 16S ribosomal RNA
Rfam family: Bacterial small subunit ribosomal RNA
Source: RNAcentral